UGAGGAAUAUUGGACAAUGGGGGAAACCCUGAUCCAGCCAUGCCGCGUGAGUGAUGAAGGCCCUAGGGUUGUAAAGCUCUUUCACUAGCGAAGAUAAUGACGGUAACUAGAGAAGAAGCCCCGGCUAACUUCGUGCCAGCAGCCGCGGUAAUACGAAGGGGGCUAGCGUUGUUCGGAAUCACUGGGCGUAAAGCGCGCGUAGGCGGAUUGGUAAGUCAGAGGUGAAAGCCCGGGGCCCAACCCCGGAACUGCCUUUGAAACUACCAGUCUAGAGACUCGGAGGGGACAGUGGAAUUCCUAAUGUAGGGGUGAAAUCCGUAGAGAUUAGGAGGAACACCAGCGGCGAAGGCGGCUGUCUGGACGAGUACUGACGCUGAGGUGCGAAAGCGUGGGGAGCAAACAGGAUUAGAUACCCCCGUAGUCC
RNAcentral lists this ribosomal RNA (424 nucleotides) under uncultured prokaryote. Its description in RNAcentral is "bacterial SSU rRNA". It matches the Rfam family "Bacterial small subunit ribosomal RNA", at positions 355 to 796 of the family's 1533-position model. The record is from RNAcentral.